Molecule: ribosomal RNA, 553 nt
Filed under: uncultured bacterium
Lineage: Bacteria
Description: bacterial SSU rRNA
Rfam family: Bacterial small subunit ribosomal RNA
Source: RNAcentral
UGAGGAAUUUUGCACAAUGGGGGAAACCCUGAUGCAGCGACGCCGCGUGAGUGAUGAAGGCCUUCGGGUCGUAAAGCUCUGUCAAUAGGGAAGAAAUGUUUGAUGGUUAAUACCCAUUGGAUUUGACGGUACCUAUAAAGGAAGCACCGGCUAAAUCCGUGCCAGCAGCCGCGGUAAUACGGAUGGUGCGAGCGUUGUUCGGAAUUACUGGGCGUAAAGGGCGCGUAGGCGGCCUGUCAAGUCAGAUGUGAAAGCCCACGGCUCAACCGUGGAAGUGCAUCUGAAACUGCCAGGCUUGAGUACUGGAGAGGAAAGUGGAAUUCCUGGUGUAGAGGUGAAAUUCGUAGAUAUCAGGAGGAAUACCGGUGGCGAAGGCGACUUUCUGGACAGAUACUGACGCUGAGGCGCGAAAGCGUGGGGAGCAAACAGGAUUAGAUACCCUGGUAGUCCACAGCUGUAAACGAUGUGCACUAGGUGUAGGGGGUCGUUGACCCUUUCUGUACCGCAGCUAACGCAUUAAGUGCACCGCCUGGGGAGUACGGUCGCAAGAUUA